CGUGGCCACGCCUGUCCGAGGGUUG
Molecule: ribosomal RNA, 25 nt
Filed under: Elaphrobates chaetodontis
Lineage: Eukaryota; Metazoa; Platyhelminthes; Trematoda; Strigeidida; Aporocotylidae
Description: Cardicola chaetodontis partial 5.8S ribosomal RNA
Source: RNAcentral